UACGGGAGGCAGCAGUGGGGAAUAUUGGACAAUGGGGGGAACCCUGAUCCAGCCAUGCCGCGUGUGUGAAGAAGGCCUUAUGGUUGUAAAGCACUUUAAGCGAGGAGGAGGCUACUGAGACUAAUACUCUUGGAUAGUGGACGUUACUCG
RNAcentral lists this ribosomal RNA (150 nucleotides) under uncultured Acinetobacter sp. RNAcentral describes it as "partial 16S ribosomal RNA". It matches the Rfam family "Bacterial small subunit ribosomal RNA", at positions 340 to 481 of the family's 1533-position model. Lineage: Bacteria; Pseudomonadati; Pseudomonadota; Gammaproteobacteria; Moraxellales; Moraxellaceae. The record is from RNAcentral.